Molecule: ribosomal RNA, 467 nt
Filed under: uncultured bacterium
Lineage: Bacteria
Description: partial 16S ribosomal RNA
Rfam family: Bacterial small subunit ribosomal RNA
Source: RNAcentral
GAUGAACGCUGGCGGCGUGCUUAACACAUGCAAGUCGAACGGUCAAGCAGAGCUUGCUCUGUGCUUCAGUUGCGAACGGGUGAGUAACACGUGAGCAACCUGCCCCUCACUCUGGGAUAAGUGCUGGCAACGGCCUCUAAUUCUUGCUAUGAGCUGCUACCGCAUGGUCAGCAGUUGGAAAGAUUUUUCGGUCUGGGAUGGGCUCACGUCCUAUCAGCUUGUUGGUGAGGUAAUGGAUCACCAAGGCGUCGACGGGUAGCCCGCCUGAGAAGGUGAGCGGCCGCACUGGGACUGAGGCGAGGCAGAGACUCCUACGGGAGGCAGAAGUGCGGAAGCCUGAACGAUGGACGCAAGCCUGAUGAAGAAGCGCCGCGUGAGGGAUAACGGCCUUAGGGUUGUAAACCACUUUUAGCAGGGAAGAAGCGAAAGUGACGGUACCUGAAGAAAAAGCGCCGGCUAACUACGUG